This 253-nucleotide ribosomal RNA is filed under the name uncultured bacterium. RNAcentral's name for it is "partial 16S ribosomal RNA". It matches the Rfam family "Bacterial small subunit ribosomal RNA", at positions 524 to 776 of the family's 1533-position model. The record is from RNAcentral.
GACGAACCGUGCGAACGUUGUUCGGAUUCACUGGGCUUAAAGGGCGCGUAGGCGGGCGGUCAAGUCAGGGGUGAAAUCUUUCGGCUCAACCGGAAAAGUGCCUUUGAUACUGGCCGUCUCGAGGGAGGUAGGGGCAUGCGGAACUUCCGGUGGAGCGGUGAAAUGCGUUGAUAUCGGAAGGAACGCCGGUGGCGAAAGCGGCGUGCUGGCCCUCUUCUGACGCUGAGGCGCGAAAGCCAGGGGAGCGAACGGG